AUGUCAUAUGGCAUUGAGGACAUCAUCGAUGGCUUCAUGCGCUCUGUUCGGGCAAAAAGUGAAACCGAUGAUUUUGAAAGGAAGACUGCGCGACUCCUUAAAAAGUUGAGAGCCCACCACCAAAUUGCCGGACGGAUCAAUGAGAUCAAGUCACUUGUGCUUGAGACAAGUGCACGGCACCAAAGGGAGAAGCAAUUGAAGGUGGCAUCGAUUGUGGGAUUUGGAGGUCUACGCAAAACUACACUUGCCAACGUGUACUACCAGCUAAGAAAUGUGGUUAGUUUUUCUUCGGAGAAAGGCCAUGAGGUGGGCACCAUGAGGUGGUGGGCUGGCCAGCAAGGGCUUGAGCCUCACUUCUGUCUAAUUAAAUCUGAAAAUGAUCUUGGCAGCAGACUAAUAGCAACUACAAGAAUUCAGGAUGUGGCUAAGGCUUGUAGCUCUUGUCGACAUGAUUACAUUCUACAGAUGAAGCCCCUUAGCAAUGAAGAUUCGAGAAGAUUGUUCUUUGGUAGGAUGUUUGACUCGGAAAAAGCCUGCCCUCACCAGAUUGAAGAUAUUUCAGUUGAAAUUCUCAAAACAUGUGGUGGUUUGCCUCUUGCGACUAUCAUCAUAUCAGGCAUGUUAGCGAGUGAAGGUUCCAACCAAGUGGAGUGGGAACAUGUACGGAAUUCUUUGGGCUAUGGUACAAAUGUCACGCUGGAAGGGAUAAGGCAAAUCUUAAACCUAAGCUACAAAAACUUUCCUCCCCUUCUCAAGACAUGCUUGUUGUAUCUUGAUAUAGUUCAUCUGCCAGGCUUGUUGCUUCUGAAUCUGGAUUUUGUUCGAGGGUUUCCAUGUCCAGGGCGUCAUGAGUCUGACGGGAUGGGGAAAAUUAAGUCCCUGCAAUAUCUACAUGCAUUUGAUUUGGAGAAGAAUUCACUAGAUAAUGUCGAGGGCCUUGGAGAGUUGAACAAUCUGAGAAAUCGAACAGUCAACAUGAAUGCUUUUUCGGCCGACAGAGAAAGACGUAUGGAUGUUCUAUGCUCUUCUUUGGGAAAAAUUUGUGCCAACCUGGAGUACCUGAGUUUUGAUAUCAUGGGCAGCACGGAUGCCAUGAUGGUUGAUGAGCUGCCCAAGGACGGUGUUGGUAUUCUGGCCGAGCUGCCCUCCCUCACUGACCUUGCUCUAGAAAUCCAACUGCCAAAAAGAGGACUGACGGUUAUCUAUGGGAGGGCAUUCCCUGUUCUAAAGCGCUUCAAAUUACAUAUUGGCAGUGCGUUAUACCUGACCUUCCAGGCUGGGGCAAUACCCAUGCUCCAGAGGUUCAGUGUAGAGUUCUAUGCCAAAGGAUCGGAGCAGGAGGAAGCUGUACUAGCUGGCUUUGAGCACUUGUUAGUGCUUGAAGAACUGUUGGCCGAAAUCCUCAGCUUAGAUGCUACAGAAUCUGACAUGAGCAAGCAGCUGGAAAUGGGGUGUACCUCAAUUCUGGCAAUUGGAACAACACGGUGUGGACAACAUCGGGGUCAGCGCAUGCAGAUGAGCCAGCUGGAAGACCAAGCUAAAGCUUUUCUUCUUUUCUUCGUCCGGCCUCAUUUGAUCCCUUAUGUCAACUUGAAUAAUUCUCUCAUCGAGUUCCAUGUUGCCUCUCGAAGCCGAAGGCAAGUUUUCACCCAGAUCAGUUCGAAGGAAUCCAACUCUCGUGCACGGGCCGCCGUCAUCACCAUCACCACCAGGCAGACCCUGGAGUACCGGCAGAUCAGCGAGCCACCGGCACCACCGCAUCCAGAUCGCCGGCCACGCCGGGCCGCCGCCAUCCCCCGCGCCGUCCGGGUCAGAGACGGAGCUGCUGAUCGCGCACAGGGACCGCCGCCGCCUGCACACGCCAGAGCGCCGCCGAGAUCCCAGCGCCCGCCACCGCUUGCCGACGCCAACCUCCGCCCGAGCACUGGCGCCACCGUGGAGCCAUCAGAUCGGGGAGGGAGACGUCGCGCGCCGACCACCCUCGCGGACCCCGCCGCACGCCCGAGCGCCGACGCCACCGCGGCGCCAUCAGAUCGGGAGGAGGAGGAGCCUGCGCCUCGCCGCCCCGCGCAGACCACGCCGCCGCCAUCACCGCAGAGCCACCAAAGGGGAGCCCCGCAGAUCCGCCGGCGACCCGACCUGCCGCCGAGCCGAGCGCCGCCGCGAGGGCCGGCCGUCCCGCGCCGCCCAGGAGCCUCGCAAGGAGGGAGGGAGCCCCGCCGCCGCCGACGCACGCGCAGGCUUUGCCCAGCGGCGUCCCCUGGCGGCGGCGAGGGAGAAGGAGGGCGAAGGAAGGGAGCGGCGGCGGUGAUCUAG
RNAcentral lists this ribosomal RNA (2316 nucleotides) under Triticum aestivum (bread wheat). RNAcentral's name for it is "partial small subunit ribosomal RNA". The record is from RNAcentral. Lineage: Eukaryota; Viridiplantae; Streptophyta; Magnoliopsida; Poales; Poaceae.